Long non-coding RNA from Salvelinus fontinalis (brook trout), 739 nucleotides. RefSeq lists it as uncharacterized. NCBI's taxonomy places the organism in Eukaryota, Metazoa, Chordata, Actinopteri, Salmoniformes, Salmonidae. The record is from RefSeq and is a predicted model, not a curated record. The transcript has 2 exons.
AACGUCCAUGUUUACGUCACUUGUCCUGAAUGUAAACUAGGAGGCCUGCGUUAUUGUCGCUUUACCAAGUAUUGAAAAAAAAAAGUAAGCUUGGAGAACAAUCAAGACAUUAUGGAAUUCAGUGUUGGCUGAAUGCAAGCCUUUAAUGGUUUCACUUGGAAACCAAGUGAAACCAUUAAAAUAGAAGGGCGUUUCAAAAGACCCAAAUCGCCUACAUCUCUCUUCACACCUUUCCUGAUCUGCACCAGCGUCUUUCUUCACUUCAAGCUCCUACAGGCAGUGGACAAAAUGUGUUAUCUCCAGUCUGUGCGAGAUGCUAUCAGUAAUCAGGUGUCUGGUGCGUUCCUGUUGUAUAAGCAGAAUAUAGACACCCUUGCUAUAUAGACACCCAGAGAUCUGCAGUCGCUCCAUCCGUCGCUGACAUGUUGGAGUGUCUUCAGGAUGCGGGGCGUUACUAUCGUCAACAGUUUCCUUUCUGUGUCGCUGUAUUACUGUACCAUUACUAAGGAUGCACAAUACAUUGUCAUUGUGAGCAUGCCACUAGACUGCAUACUGCCGAGGAAGGCUUGAUGCUUAAACGCGUCACUUCAGUUUGUGGCAUUAUAAAUCUUGAAAUCUACCAUUUGGUAAAGGUUGUCAUAUUGUUGAUUUGUGUGAGAAAGACACUGUGGGCUGAUGACCUCUCCCUUCUGGAAACUGCUCCCAAGAGUGCCUUCAUAAAGUAUUCACACCCCUUGAA